RNAcentral lists this ribosomal RNA (253 nucleotides) under uncultured bacterium. RNAcentral's name for it is "partial 16S ribosomal RNA". It matches the Rfam family "Bacterial small subunit ribosomal RNA", at positions 524 to 776 of the family's 1533-position model. The record is from RNAcentral.
UACGUAGGUGGCAAGCGUUGUCCGGAUUUACUGGGCGUAAAGGGAGCGUAGGUGGAUGUUUAAGUGGGAUGUGAAAUACUCGGGCUUAACCUGGGUGCUGCAUUCCAAACUGGAUAUCUAGAGUGCAGGAGAGGAAAGUAGAAUUCCUAGUGUAGCGGUGAAAUGCGUAGAGAUUAGGAAGAAUACCAGUGGCGAAGGCGACUUUCUGGACUGUAACUGACACUGAGGCUCGAAAGCGUGGGGAGCAAACAGG